UGGGCCACUAAAUACCUUAAUGUCAUUU
RNAcentral lists this non-coding RNA (28 nucleotides) under Mus musculus (house mouse). Lineage: Eukaryota; Metazoa; Chordata; Mammalia; Rodentia; Muridae. The record is from RNAcentral.